Molecule: ribosomal RNA, 492 nt
Filed under: uncultured bacterium
Lineage: Bacteria
Description: partial 16S ribosomal RNA
Rfam family: Bacterial small subunit ribosomal RNA
Source: RNAcentral
AGUGAACGCUGGCGGUAGGCCUAACACAUGCAAGUCGAACGGCAGCACAGUAAGAGCUUGCUCUUACGGGUGGCGAGUGGCGGACGGGUGAGGAAUACAUCUGAAUCUACUUUUUCGUGGGGGAUAACGUAGGGAAACUUACGCUAAUACCGCAUACGACCUACGGGUGAAAGCAGGGGGUCUUCGGACCUUGCGCGAUUGAAUGAGCCGAUGUCGGAUUAGCUAGUUGGCGGGGUAAAGGCCCACCAAGGCGACGAUCCGUAGCUGGUCUGAGAGGAUGAUCAGCCACACUGGAACUGAGACACGGUCCAGACUCCUACGGGAGGCAGCAGUGGGGAAUAUUGGACAAUGGGCGCAAGCCUGAUCCAGCCAUACCGCGUGGGUGAAGAAGGCCUUCGGGUUGUAAAGCCCUUUUGUUGGGAAAGAAAAGCAGCAGGUUAAUACCCCGCUGUUCUGACGGUACCCAAAGAAUAAGCACCGGCUAACUUCGUG